Molecule: transfer RNA, 79 nt
Filed under: Cutibacterium acnes KPA171202
Lineage: Bacteria; Bacillati; Actinomycetota; Actinomycetes; Propionibacteriales; Propionibacteriaceae
Description: tRNA-Thr
Rfam family: tRNA
About the family: Transfer RNA (tRNA) molecules are approximately 80 nucleotides in length. Their secondary structure includes four short double-helical elements and three loops (D, anti-codon, and T loops). Further hydrogen bonds mediate the characteristic L-shaped molecular structure. tRNAs have two regions of fundamental functional importance: the anti-codon, which is responsible for specific mRNA codon recognition, and the 3' end, to which the tRNAs corresponding amino acid is attached (by aminoacyl-tRNA synthetases). tRNAs cope with the degeneracy of the genetic code in two manners: having more than one tRNA (with a specific anti-codon) for a particular amino acid; and 'wobble' base-pairing, i.e. permitting non-standard base-pairing at the 3rd anti-codon position.
Source: RNAcentral
GCCUCUGUAGCUCAGUUGGUAGAGCGCCGCUCUUGUAAAGCGAUGGUCGCGGGUUCGAUUCCUGUCAGAGGCUCCAUAC